UACGGAGGUCCCGAGCGUUGUUCGGAUUCACUGGGCGUAAAGGGUGCGUAGGUGGUGAGGUAAGUCGGAUGUGAAAUCUCCGGGCUCAACCCGGAAAUGGCAUUGGAAACUACCUUGCUAGAGGAUUUGAGGGGGGAUUGGAAUACUUGGUGUAGCAGUGAAAUGCGUAGAUAUCAAGUGGAACACCAGUGGCGAAGGCGACUACCUGGCCUGUUCUUGACGCUGAGGCGCGAAAGCUAGGGGAGCAAACGGG
Molecule: ribosomal RNA, 253 nt
Filed under: uncultured bacterium
Lineage: Bacteria
Description: partial 16S ribosomal RNA
Rfam family: Bacterial small subunit ribosomal RNA
Source: RNAcentral